ACAAUGAAGAGUUUGAUCCUGGCUCAGGAUGAACGCUAGCGAUAGGCUUAACACAUGCAAGUCGAGGGGCAUCAGGAGUAGCAAUACU
Molecule: ribosomal RNA, 88 nt
Filed under: Bacteroidota bacterium
Lineage: Bacteria; Pseudomonadati; Bacteroidota
Description: partial 16S ribosomal RNA
Rfam family: Bacterial small subunit ribosomal RNA
Source: RNAcentral